Molecule: ribosomal RNA, 792 nt
Filed under: Triticum aestivum (bread wheat)
Lineage: Eukaryota; Viridiplantae; Streptophyta; Magnoliopsida; Poales; Poaceae
Description: partial small subunit ribosomal RNA
Source: RNAcentral
AUGUUGGAGCUGAGGCUGGUGCAGGGGAGCCUGCUGAAGAAGGUGCUGGAGGCGAUCAAGGAGCUGGUGACGGACGCCAACUUCGACUGCUCCGGGACGGGCUUCUCGCUGCAGGCCAUGGACUCCUCCCACGUCGCGCUCGUCGCCCUGCUCCUCCGCUCCGAGGGAUUCGAGCACUACCGCUGCGACCGCAACCUCUCCAUGGGCAUGAACCUCGGCAACAUGGCCAAGAUGCUCCGCUGCGCGGGCAACGACGACAUCAUCACCAUCAAGGCCGACGACGGCUCCGACACCGUCACCUUCAUGUUCGAGUCACCCAACCAGGAUAAGAUUGCCGACUUCGAGAUGAAGCUCAUGGACAUCGACAGCGAGCACCUCGGGAUCCCAGACUCUGAGUACCAGGCCAUCGUUCGCAUGCCCUCCUCGGAGUUCUCCAGGAUCUGCAAGGAUCUUAGCAGCAUCGGCGACACUGUUAUUAUUUCUGUCACCAAGGAGGGUGUCAAGUUCUCCACUGCUGGAGAUAUUGGAACCGCAAACAUUGUUUGCAGGCAGAACAAGACCGUUGACAAGCCUGAGGAAUCUACCAUUAUAGAAAUGCAAGAGCCGGUUUCACUUACCUUUGCUCUGAGGUACAUGAACUCCUUCACUAAGGCAAGCCCACUGUCAGACCAAGUCACCAUCAGCCUCUCAUCUGAACUGCCAGUGGUUGUUGAGUACAAGAUUGGCGAGAUGGGCUACAUUAGGUUUUAUUUGGCACCCAAGAUUGAAGAGGAUGAGGAAAUGAAGGCAUGA